Molecule: transfer RNA, 84 nt
Filed under: Felis catus (domestic cat)
Lineage: Eukaryota; Metazoa; Chordata; Mammalia; Carnivora; Felidae
Rfam family: tRNA
About the family: Transfer RNA (tRNA) molecules are approximately 80 nucleotides in length. Their secondary structure includes four short double-helical elements and three loops (D, anti-codon, and T loops).
Source: Rfam by way of RNAcentral
GCCUGGGUGGCUCAGUCGGUGAGCAUCUGACUUCGGCUCAGGUCAUGAUCUCACUGUCUGUGGGUUUGAGCCCUGCAUUGGGCU